This 475-nucleotide ribosomal RNA is filed under the name uncultured bacterium. RNAcentral's name for it is "bacterial SSU rRNA". It matches the Rfam family "Bacterial small subunit ribosomal RNA", at positions 47 to 489 of the family's 1533-position model. The record is from RNAcentral.
CCUAACACAUGCAAGUCGAGCGCAGGAAGCAAGCUGAUCCCCUUCGGGGGUGACGCUUGUGGAAUGAGCGGCGGACGGGUGAGUAACACGUGGGCAACCUGCCUGUAAGACUGGGAUAACCCCGGGAAACCGGGGCUAAUACCGGAUAAUACUUUCUUUUGCAUAAAGGAAAGUUGAAAGGCGGCUUCGGCUGUCACUUACAGAUGGGCCCGCGGCGCAUUAGCUAGUUGGUGAGGUAACGGCUCACCAAGGCGACGAUGCGUAGCCGACCUGAGAGGGUGAUCGGCCACACUGGGACUGAGACACGGCCCAGACUCCUACGGGAGGCAGCAGUAGGGAAUCUUCCGCAAUGGACGAAAGUCUGACGGAGCAACGCCGCGUGAGUGAUGAAGGUUUUCGGAUCGUAAAACUCUGUUGUUAGGGAAGAACAAGUACGAUAGUAACUGAUCGUACCUUGACGGUACCUAACCAGAAA